AUUGAACGCUGGCGGCAGGCCUAACACAUGCAAGUCGAGCGGAUGAAGGGAGCUUGCUCCUGGAUUCAGCGGCGGACGGGUGAGUAAUGCCUAGGAAUCUGCCUGGUAGUGGGGGAUAACGUCCGGAAACGGGCGCUAAUACCGCAUACGUCCUGAGGGAGAAAGUGGGGGAUCUUCGAACCUCACGCUAUCAGAUGAGCCUAGGUCGGAUUAGCUAGUUGGUGGGGUAAAGGCCUACCAAGGCGACGAUCCGUAACUGGUCUGAGAGGAUGAUCAGUCACACUGGAACUGAGACACGGUCCAGACUCCUACGGGAGGCAGCAGUGGGGAAUAUUGGACAAUGGGCGAAAGCCUGAUCCAGCCAUGCCGCGUGUGUGAAGAAGGUCUUCGGAUUGUAAAGCACUUUAAGUUGGGAGGAAGGGCAGUAAGUUAAUGCCUUGCUGUUUUGACGUUACCAACAGAAUAAGCACCGGCUAACUUCGUG
RNAcentral lists this ribosomal RNA (484 nucleotides) under uncultured bacterium. RNAcentral's name for it is "partial 16S ribosomal RNA". It matches the Rfam family "Bacterial small subunit ribosomal RNA", at positions 30 to 507 of the family's 1533-position model. The record is from RNAcentral.